AGCAACCUAGUAGUAGUAACAUUAUUAUUUGAAACCACCACAUGCGCGUAAUCUGUACCUGUAUUAUAUUCCAUAUUAUUUUAUCUAUUUGUAUUGUUAUCUGUCUCAUGUACAGAUCAUCARCAUGAAGAAGACGACUUUAGGAUGACGAAUUGGUACAAUAGUAUGUUAACUGGUUAGAUAAUCCUAUAAGAAAAGUCCAAAGCUCAUGUCUCUAACAUAAUCCAUUUAAAAAUGAUUUGAGUUUUCUUAUCUGUGUGUCUCCCCCGAGCCCCUGGUCGUGCUGCUGAUCCCAUGCUUCUGGCUCGACUGCAGUUGUGGMCCCCUGGCCURAUUUCACCGGGCGUGCUACCUUGUCCCGAACGCCUGCUGAACGAGCUCAGCCAGUCUGUUGUUGCAGCUUGGUGGGUGGCCCUGGAGCUUUUCUCUGUGCACCAUGGACCUGUAUCAGCUGUUCAGAUCUUGCCAGGUGGUCAUAUAAGUAUUCUACACAUCAUGGCAACAUGCUCGACUGAGCCAUCUGUCACCAUGUCUAUAGACUUUAUGAAGGUUAUGGGGGUGAUGUCGUAGCCCAUCAGAUUUAAUAUUUUAUGCUGAUGUGUAAAAGUUAUAAAUUAGGAAGAUGGUGCUGUUCAGAAUGACAUUUUCGUGACUGUUGAUGUUCACAGAACUCUCCUAAUGCUAUGUUGAACGAGAACCACGGAGGAAGGCGGGGGAGGAAAACAGACAGCUUUCUCUCUACCACACCUUCAAAUCAAAUUGUAUUUGUCGCAUGCGCCGAAUACAACAGGUGUAGACCUUAC
Molecule: non-coding RNA, 803 nt
Organism: Salvelinus sp. IW2-2015
Lineage: Eukaryota; Metazoa; Chordata; Actinopteri; Salmoniformes; Salmonidae
Source: RefSeq, a predicted model, not a curated record